AGUGAACGCUGGCGGUAGGCCUGACACAUGCAAGUCGAACGGCAGCACAGUAAGAGCUUGCUCUUACGGGUGGCGAGUGGCGGACGGGUGAGGAAUACAUCGGAAUCUACUUUUUCGUGGGGGAUAACGUAGGGAAACUUACGCUAAUACCGCAUACGACCUACGGGUGAAAGCAGGGGAUCUUCGGACCUUGCGCGAUUGAAUGAGCCGAUGUCGGAUUAGCUAGUUGGCGGGGUAAAGGCCCACCAAGGCGACGAUCCGUAGCUGGUCUGAGAGGAUGAUCAGCCACACUGGAACUGAGACACGGUCCAGACUCCUACGGGAGGCAGCAGUGGGGAAUAUUGGACAAUGGGCGCAAGCCUGAUCCAGCCAUACCGCGUGGGUGAAGAAGGCCUUCGGGUUGUAAAGCCCUUUUGUUGGGAAAGAAAAGCAGCAGGUUAAUACCCCGCUGUUCUGACGGUACCCAAAGAAUAAACACCGGCUAACUUCGUG
This 492-nucleotide ribosomal RNA is filed under the name uncultured bacterium. Its description in RNAcentral is "partial 16S ribosomal RNA". It matches the Rfam family "Bacterial small subunit ribosomal RNA", at positions 29 to 507 of the family's 1533-position model. The record is from RNAcentral.